UCCCACACAGAGUCUCCCCGAACUCUGGGGUCUCUCAGGACCCCAUCAUGGUGUGGACUGGGCUCACUUUCUCUCCUCACAUGGGGAGGACAGGGCUUGGGCCAGCCUGUGAUGGCCAGGAUGUGGGUGGUAAGCAGAGGCUCCAUGGCCUCCUCGUCCCCCGAGAAGGACUCAGGUGAGGCGCGGGCCAGUCUGUAAGAACUCCAGGUCUCUCGGGCCUUGAGCCUCCCUGGGGGUGCAGGUGCUGCUCCGGGCCAGGUCCCCUGCCACACCCAGCAGCUUGCCCGCCAUCUGCCAGGCCCUUCACGUGGGGUUUGGAGGUCACCACUGGCCAAUCCCUCAUGCUCCUGUGCUCUAGCCACACAUCGGGGUGGCCACAGCUCUAGGCUGAGCACUUCUGGCCCCACAUCCAUAGGCUGCACUAUACUGCCUCCUAUCCCCAGGUGCCCCCAGCACCACCCCGCAGUGCCGGGCCUGUCCCCUGCUGUCCUAGGACUGCAGCUGCCCUGUGGCUGCAGAGCUCCCUCCUGUCACCUGUGCUACCAGGGGCCAGGUACCGCUCUGCUCCCGGGGCCAGGCUGGGGCCCCGCUCUGCUCAUCCCGGCUUCACUCUGCAGGCUGGGCCUCCUGCCCCCGUGUGCCCGGCCGCCCUCUUCACCCGGGGCAGGUGGUGGGGCAGCCCUUGGGCUGGGCUCAGGAGCCUGUGGUUACUCCUGCUGCCUGCCUGUGUUCAGGCUGGGCUUUAGCCAUUAGGAGCCCAGGACCUUGGGCUGUGGCAGAAGGAGGCUGCCAUGGACUGGCUGCAGGAUGCAGUUCUAGGCCGCAGUUGGCUGGAGCCCUUGAAACCAGGAAGCAAAGGCACAAGUCAGCUCCCUGAGCUUCUCACACUGAGCUGGAGUGCCUGGCCCACCAGACGCACUGUGUGGGGAUUGUGACCUCCAGCUCUGGGCGCUGCACAGGCUGAGAGCGGUGAGGCUGACCUGCACGCUGUCCAGGUCUCCUAAGGGCCAGCUGUCCCCGUAGGACAUCAGAGAGGGCCACCAUGAGUUUCCAACACAGGCUGGCUGUGGAGGUGGGAGGUCCAGCACCUCAUCGGGAGCUGUGGACUGCAGUCAGCCUCACCACCCAUCUGCCAUCCAGACACCAGGAAGACCUGGAAGGGCCACACAGCUCCGGGGCCAUGGUGCACUCAUGUAGCUUCCCACAGAGCCAAAACCUUGCGAUUCUUGCAAGACUACACUGUCCUUUCUGGCCUCGGUGGUCACUGUCACCUGGCUGCCUCUCAGAUCUCUAUACACACACCCAGUGGCUCCUGAAGAUGCCCUCUUGUGGGUCUCUAGCUCCAUGAAGCCACUGGAAGGUUUAUCUCCCAACCUUGGAUGAUCUACCCACCAACGACAAAGGCAUGCAGUGAUGGGCUGGCCCUCUGUCACACGGUGGCCUUGGCAGCCACCUCAUCUCAGGCCCCAGAAACCCAGGCAUUGUCCUGGAUACGACCUUCUUACAACAGUGAGCCUGGUCAAGUCUACCUCUGAAUUUCAUUUCCAGUCUUCACGUCUACGCCCCCACUGUCCGCCCCUUGUCUCCUCCCGGGCUGACAUUCUCCUUACUGGUCUGCUCUCACUUUAAUCCCCUGCAGCCUGUCCCUAUCCCGCAGCCCACGCUUCAUCUCUUAGACAUGCAGAGCAGACUGGGCCAAGUGGCACAGUGGUAGUGCACUUGCCCACCUGGCGCACAGCCCUGGGUUCCUCGCCCAGUACGACCAAUACCAGCCAUCAAUCAGCCACCACCUAACCAACCAAACACCUAAGCAAGC
Long non-coding RNA from Octodon degus (degu), 1816 nucleotides. RefSeq lists it as uncharacterized. The record is from RefSeq and is a predicted model, not a curated record. NCBI's taxonomy places the organism in Eukaryota, Metazoa, Chordata, Mammalia, Rodentia, Octodontidae. The transcript has 3 exons.